UAGCUGGUUUUCUAGGGUUCCGUGGCUUAUUGCCAGUCUGGUCCGAGAGAAAACACACACUGUACGGUGUGGACACGGAAGGAUAAAAGCCUGGGAGAU
RNAcentral lists this small RNA (99 nucleotides) under Neobacillus bataviensis. RNAcentral's name for it is "Bacillus bataviensis Guanidine-I sequence". It matches the Rfam family "Guanidine-I riboswitch aptamer". Rfam says of the family: This family represents a conserved RNA structure found upstream of the ykkC and yxkD genes in Bacillus subtilis and related genes in other bacteria. The function of this family is unclear although it has been suggested that it may function to switch on efflux pumps and detoxification systems in response to harmful environmental molecules. RNAcentral also lists the same sequence under 1 other name. The record is from RNAcentral. Lineage: Bacteria; Bacillati; Bacillota; Bacilli; Caryophanales; Bacillaceae.